Molecule: ribosomal RNA, 398 nt
Filed under: uncultured bacterium
Lineage: Bacteria
Description: partial 16S ribosomal RNA
Rfam family: Bacterial small subunit ribosomal RNA
Source: RNAcentral
AUACGUAGGGUGCGAGCGUUGUCCGGAAUUACUGGGCGUAAAGAGCUCGUAGGUGGUUUGUCGCGUCGUCUGUGAAAUUCCGGGGCUUAACUCCGGGCGUGCAGGCGAUACGGGCAUAACUUGAGUACUGUAGGGGAGACUGGAAUUCCUGGUGUAGCGGUGAAAUGCGCAGAUACCAGGAGGAACACCGGUGGCGAAGGCGGGUCUCUGGGCAGUAACUGACGCUGAGGAGCGAAAGCAUGGGUAGCGAACAGGAUUAGAUACCCUGGUAGUCCAUGCCGUAAACGGUGGGCGCUAGGUGUAGGGGUCUUCCACGACUUCUGUGCCGUAGCUAACGCAUUAAGCGCCCCGCCUGGGGAGUACGGCCGCAAGGCUAAAACUCAAAUGAAUUGACGGGG